UAGGGAAUCUUCCGCAAUGGACGAAAGUCUGACGGAGCAACGCCGCGUGAGUGAAGAAGGUUUUCGGAUCGUAAAACUCUGUUGUCAGAGAAGAACAAGUCGGAGAGUAACUGCUCCGGCCUUGACGGUAUCUGACCAGAAAGCCACGGCUAACUACGUGCCAGCAGCCGCGGUAAUACGUAGGUGGCAAGCGUUGUCCGGAUUUAUUGGGCGUAAAGCGAGCGCAGGCGGUUCCUUAAGUCUGAUGUGAAAGCCCACGGCUCAACCGUGGAAGGUCAUUGGAAACUGGGGAACUUGAGUGCAGAAGAGGAGAGUGGAAUUCCAUGUGUAGCGGUGAAAUGCGUAGAUAUAUGGAGGAACACCAGUGGCGAAGGCGACUCUCUGGUCUGUAACUGACGCUGAGGCUCGAAAGCGUGGGGAGCAAACA
RNAcentral lists this ribosomal RNA (427 nucleotides) under uncultured Trichococcus sp. RNAcentral's name for it is "bacterial SSU rRNA". It matches the Rfam family "Bacterial small subunit ribosomal RNA", at positions 355 to 774 of the family's 1533-position model. Lineage: Bacteria; Bacillati; Bacillota; Bacilli; Lactobacillales; Carnobacteriaceae. The record is from RNAcentral.